RNAcentral lists this ribosomal RNA (1171 nucleotides) under Coprobacillus sp. RNAcentral's name for it is "bacterial SSU rRNA". It matches the Rfam family "Bacterial small subunit ribosomal RNA", at positions 346 to 1520 of the family's 1533-position model. Lineage: Bacteria; Bacillati; Bacillota; Erysipelotrichia; Erysipelotrichales; Coprobacillaceae. The record is from RNAcentral. RNAcentral also lists the same sequence under 1 other name.
AGGCAGCAGUAGGGAAUUUUCGGCAAUGGGGGAAACCCUGACCGAGCAACGCCGCGUGAGGGAAGAAGUAUUUCGGUAUGUAAACCUCUGUUAUAAAGGAAGAACGGUAUGAAUAGGAAAUGAUUCAUAAGUGACGGUACUUUAUGAGAAAGCCACGGCUAACUACGUGCCAGCAGCCGCGGUAAUACGUAGGUGGCGAGCGUUAUCCGGAAUCAUUGGGCGUAAAGAGGGAGCAGGCGGCAAUAGAGGUCUGCGGUGAAAGCCUGAAGCUAAACUUCAGUAAGCCGUGGAAACCAAAUAGCUAGAGUGCAGUAGAGGAUCGUGGAAUUCCAUGUGUAGCGGUGAAAUGCGUAGAUAUAUGGAGGAACACCAGUGGCGAAGGCGACGAUCUGGGCUGCAACUGACGCUCAGUCCCGAAAGCGUGGGGAGCAAAUAGGAUUAGAUACCCUAGUAGUCCACGCCGUAAACGAUGAGUACUAAGUGUUGGGGGUCAAACCUCAGUGCUGCAGUUAACGCAAUAAGUACUCCGCCUGAGUAGUACGUUCGCAAGAAUGAAACUCAAAGGAAUUGACGGGGGCCCGCACAAGCGGUGGAGCAUGUGGUUUAAUUCGAAGCAACGCGAAGAACCUUACCAGGUCUUGACAUACCUCUAAAGGCUCUAGAGAUAGAGAGAUAGCUAUAGGGGAUACAGGUGGUGCAUGGUUGUCGUCAGCUCGUGUCGUGAGAUGUUGGGUUAAGUCCCGCAACGAGCGCAACCCUUGUCGCUAGUUACCAUCAUUAAGUUGGGGACUCUAGCGAGACUGCCUCUGCAAGGAGGAGGAAGGCGGGGAUGACGUCAAAUCAUCAUGCCCCUUAUGACCUGGGCUACACACGUGCUACAAUGGACGGAUCAAAGGGAAGCGAAGCCGCGAGGUGGAGCGAAACCCAAAAACCCGUUCUCAGUUCGGACUGCAGUCUGCAACUCGACUGCACGAAGUUGGAAUCGCUAGUAAUCGCGAAUCAGAAUGUCGCGGUGAAUACGUUCUCGGGCCUUGUACACACCGCCCGUCACACCAUGAGAGUUGGUAACACCCGAAGCCGGUGGCUUAACCGCAAGGAGAGAGCUGUCUAAGGUGGGACUGAUGAUUAGGGUGAAGUCGUAACAAGGUAUCCCUACGGGAACGUGGGGAUG